GCUGGCGGCACGCUUAAAACAUGCAAGUCGAACGUGAAGCCCGGGCUUGCUCGGGUGGAAAGUGGCGAACGGGUGAGUAACACGUGGGGAAUCUGCCCCGAAGACCGGGAUAACUCCGGGAAACCGGUGCUAAUACCGGAUGCCCUCGCCGGGUCGCAUGGCCUGGUGAGGAAAUGGUUUUCCGCUUCGGGAUGACCCCGCGUCCUAUCAGCUUGUUGGUGGGGUAACGGCCUACCAAGGCUUCGACGGGUAGCUGGUCUGAGAGGAUGUCCAGCCACACUGGGACUGAGAUACGGCCCAGACUCCUACGGGAGGCAGCAGUUAGGAAUCUUGCGCAAUGGGCGAAAGCCUGACGCAGCGAUGCCGCGUGCGGGAUGAAGGCCCUCGGGUCGUAAACCGCUUUCAGCAGGGACGAAAUUGACGGUACCUGCAGAAGAAGCCCCGGCCAACUACGUGCCAGCAGCCGCGGUGAUACGUAGGGGGCGAGCGUUGUCCGGAUU
RNAcentral lists this ribosomal RNA (500 nucleotides) under uncultured soil bacterium. RNAcentral's name for it is "bacterial SSU rRNA". It matches the Rfam family "Bacterial small subunit ribosomal RNA", at positions 35 to 551 of the family's 1533-position model. The record is from RNAcentral.